ACGAACGCUGGCGGCAGGCCUAACACAUGCAAGUCGAACGAAGUCUUCGGACUUAGUGGCGCACGGGUGAGUAACACGUGGGAAUAUACCUUACGCUGGGGGAUAACAUCGGGAAACUGAUGCUAAUACCGCAUACGCCCUUCGGGGGAAAGAUUUAUCGGCGAAAGAUUAGCCCGCGUCCGAUUAGCUAGUUGGUGAGGUAAUGGCUCACCAAGGCUCCGAUCGGUAGCUGGUCUGAGAGGAUGACCAGCCACACUGGGACUGAGACACGGCCCAGACUCCGCGGGGGGGGAGCAGGGGGGAAUAGUGGAAAUGGGGCGAAGGCCUGACCCAGCAAUGCCGCGUGGGGGAGGAGGGCUUUGGGGUUGAAAAGCUCUUCCCCCCACGAGGAGGAUGAGGGGGGGGGGAGAAGGAGCCGCGGCUAACUGCGU
RNAcentral lists this ribosomal RNA (431 nucleotides) under uncultured bacterium. RNAcentral's name for it is "partial 16S ribosomal RNA". It matches the Rfam family "Bacterial small subunit ribosomal RNA", at positions 29 to 506 of the family's 1533-position model. The record is from RNAcentral.